RNAcentral lists this transfer RNA (67 nucleotides) under Dipodomys ordii (Ord's kangaroo rat). It matches the Rfam family "tRNA". Rfam says of the family: Transfer RNA (tRNA) molecules are approximately 80 nucleotides in length. Their secondary structure includes four short double-helical elements and three loops (D, anti-codon, and T loops). The record is from Rfam by way of RNAcentral. Lineage: Eukaryota; Metazoa; Chordata; Mammalia; Rodentia; Heteromyidae.
AGGUGGCUCAGCAGUAGAGUGCUUGCCUUGCAUGCAUGAGGCCCUGGGUUCGAUUCCUCAGCACCUA